Molecule: ribosomal RNA, 253 nt
Filed under: uncultured bacterium
Lineage: Bacteria
Description: partial 16S ribosomal RNA
Rfam family: Bacterial small subunit ribosomal RNA
Source: RNAcentral
UACGUAGGGUGCAAGCGUUAAUCGGAAUUACUGGGCGUAAAGCGUGCGCAGGCGGUUUUGUAAGACUGUCGUGAAAUCCCCGGGCUUAACCUGGGAAUGGCGAUGGUGACUGCAAGGCUAGAGUUUGGCAGAGGGGGGUAGAAUUCCACGUGUAGCAGUGAAAUGCGUAGAGAUGCGGAGGAACACCGAUGGCGAAGGCAGCCCCCUGGGCUAGCACUGACGCUCAGGCACGAAAGCGUGGGGAGCAAACAGG